This 348-nucleotide ribosomal RNA is filed under the name uncultured archaeon. RNAcentral's name for it is "bacterial SSU rRNA". It matches the Rfam family "Archaeal small subunit ribosomal RNA", at positions 42 to 366 of the family's 1478-position model. The record is from RNAcentral.
UACUUUCUGGNUAUCCCGCAUUGCAUACUAAGUCCAUGCGAGUCAUUGUAGUAAUACAAGGCAGACGGCUCAGUAACGCGUAGUCAACCUAACCUAUGGACGGGAAUAACCUCGGGAAACUGAGUAUAAUGCCCGAUAGAACAUUAUGCCUGGAAUGGUUUAUGUUCCAAAUGAUUUAUCGCCGUAGGAUGGGACUGCGGCCUAUCAGUUUGUUGGUGAGGUAAUGGCCCACCAAGACUAUUACAGGUACGGGCUCUGAGAGGAGUAGCCCGGAGAUGGGUACUGAGACACGGACCCAGGCCCUAUGGGGCAGCAGNAGGCGAGAAAACUUUGCAAUGUGCUACAAGC